Molecule: long non-coding RNA, 1405 nt
Filed under: Rattus norvegicus (Norway rat)
Lineage: Eukaryota; Metazoa; Chordata; Mammalia; Rodentia; Muridae
Description: long non-coding RNA NONRATT024830
Source: RNAcentral
CCAGGUGUUCUGGAAUGUUCUUUUCCAUCCUCUGGUUUGUUGCUAAAAAGUACCUAGAGAGCAGUCACUAAAUAACUGGUGUAUCUUUUAUCCUUUUGGUAGGCUUACUUGCCCUUUGGGGAUAGGCUCCUGUGAACACUUAGAACCUGGGAGGACGGUGGGCACUGGGUGAUACCCGGCUCCGCCUUGCACCCGUUGUCAACCACAGAGAUGUGAUUCCCUUCACUACCAGCUGGUUGGUUAACAGAGCUGAGCGUUACACGGGCCUCCUGACUCAGUGCAUGCCUCCUCACAUAGUGUGCUCUCAGGUUUCCAAUCUGCUGCUCGACUGCCCUGCCCGUAGGCACAACAAGAGACUUGCAGUUAGGCUUGUGAACUCAAGGCAGAACUCUUUUUUUUUUUUUUUUGCACACUUAUUUAACCUUGUAAGCUCCCGACAUGCACAGCACUUUUGAAACAUGAUGCACUUUUUACUUUUUGAGACUUUGCCUUCAUUUCCUCCUGGGAUAUAAAAAACUUUAAAGAAGUAUUUCACAGAAUGAAUAAAAGUGUGUGUGUGGGGGGGUGUGUUAUCUGUGUGGGUGUCCAUGGUGUCUGGGCUUGGGGUGGGGUCAGGGUUUAGCCGUAGCUGCUGAGUUCUGUUGGCUACACAGCUGCAGAGCCAUGGCUGACCGUUCACUGUCAGGGGCACAUGUUACACUAAGCUUCAUGACAGUGAUGUAAUAAUGUUACACAUUUGUCUUGUAGUUAUGUAUUGAAGUUUCUGUCCUGUUUUGUGUAAAAAUGUAUCCACUCUUGUAUAUAUUUAGACUUGAAACUACCACACAAAUAUUGGAACGGUUUGCUUUAUGAAGUUAAAAGUAUCCUUCCGAAUGGAACUAACUUGCUUUGUGCUCAGACAUAUACUAUGCUGAUGUAUUUUGCAAUAUACUAUCUUAAAUUAAAUCUGGUCACUUUGUUGCCUUUUUAAAAAGUGUGGUAUUUCAAGUAGAGUUAUUUUCCUGAAAUAUAUUUGCAAACUCAAGCUGCUUUAUAAUCAAGGAAUAUUUUUAUUGAUUGAAGAAAAUGACUGCUGCAAUUCAAAAGUGAACUUAUUUUAUUAUAUAGAUGAUUUCUUAAAAGCUAUUUAUACCAUGAUACAAAAUCAUGUAGUGAUCCUGGGAGUCUGUAGUUCUUCCUGUUAAUAACAUUCAACACUGUAUGCUAGAGGCAGCAAUGCCAACACUGAAGUUAUUUUGGGUGAAAACCGUUGUUCUGUUCCUGUUUAGCUGGGGAUUAUUAAAUCCAUAUAAUGUAUGUGCUUAUGUAUGCUACAUGUGCAAGUUAGGUGUUUCCUUUGUGUUCUGCUUAUUAAAUGUCAUUCAGAUUCACUUCCUGAAUUCUAAUAAAGAGGGAAGCUAUUGGA